This 377-nucleotide long non-coding RNA is filed under the name Trifolium pratense (red clover). RNAcentral describes it as "long non-coding RNA (TPRA_LNC004133)". The record is from RNAcentral. Lineage: Eukaryota; Viridiplantae; Streptophyta; Magnoliopsida; Fabales; Fabaceae.
UUACCUCUCUACCCUUGAGUGCUAGUGCUCUUGCAACUGCUAUUCCAACCACACCAGCUCCUAUCACUAUACAAUCAACUUUCUCCCUUGGGACAGAGUACGAGGUUGUUGUGUCAUUUUGUGUGUUACUGCUGAUGUUUCUGACCCAAUUCCUAAAUAAGUUGUUCCAUUUCAAAUGAACAUCGCAUGUUCUUGAUGAUGAUGAUGUGAAUUUUUGUUCCAACGUAUGAAUUGUUUUCUUCAACAUUCUAACUCACCUAGCUGUAGAUUUGGUUGUUACUUUUUUCAAUUGUGUAUGUUUGUUGAUUGAGAAUCAUGAUCACGGAAAUGAUGAAUAAUUAAGGACUGUUUGAUUACGAUUGUAAUGUAUUUUAUUU